GUGCCAGCCGCCGCGGUAAUUCCAGCUCCAAUAGCGUAUAUUAAAGUUGUUGUGGUUAGGAAAGCUCGUAGUUGAACCUUGGGCCUGGCUGGCCGGUCCGCCUCACCGUGUGCACUGGUCCGGCCGGGCCUUUCCCUCUGUGGAACCCCAUACCCUUCACUGGGCGUGGCGGGGAAACAGGACAUUUACUUUGAAAAAAUUAGAGUGCUCCAGGCAGGCCUAUGCUCGAAUACAUUAGCAUGGAAUAAUAAAAUAGGACGCGCGGUUCUAUUUUGUUGGUUUAUAGGACCGCCGUAAUGAUUAAUAGGGACAGUCGGGGGCAUCAGUAUUCAACUGUCAGAGGUGAAAUUCUUGGAUCAGUUGAAGACUAACUACUGCGAAAGCUUUUGCCAAGGGAUGUUUUCAUUAAUCAGGAACGAAAGUUAGGGGGAUCGAAGACGAUCAGAUACCGUCGUAGUCUUAACCAUAAACUAUGCCGACUAGGGAUCGGACGGUGUUAUUCAUGACCCGUUCGGCACCUUACGAGAAAUCAAAGUGCUUGGGCUCCAGGGGGAGUAUGGUCGCAAGGCUGAAACUUAAAGAAAUUGACGGAAGGGCACCACCAGGGUGGAGCCUGCGGCUUAAUUUGACUCAACACGGGGAACUCACCAGGUCGCAGACACAUAAGGAUUGACAGAUUGAGAGCUCUUUCUUGAUGUUGGUGGUGGUGGUGCAUGACCCGUUCUAAGUUGCUGGGAGUGACGUUGUCUUGCUAAUUGCGAUGACGAACGAGACUUAAUCUGCUGAUAAGCCGGCAAUGCGUACGGCAGUGCGGUUGACAUCUUAGAGGGGAGUUACGGCAUGCAGC
RNAcentral lists this ribosomal RNA (847 nucleotides) under uncultured fungus. RNAcentral describes it as "SSU rRNA". It matches the Rfam family "Eukaryotic small subunit ribosomal RNA", at positions 564 to 1434 of the family's 1831-position model. Lineage: Eukaryota; Fungi. The record is from RNAcentral.